RNAcentral lists this small RNA (734 nucleotides) under Pongo abelii (Sumatran orangutan). RNAcentral's name for it is "retained intron". Lineage: Eukaryota; Metazoa; Chordata; Mammalia; Primates; Hominidae. The record is from RNAcentral.
CCUCCGCGCGCGACUACGCUCAUAAAAGGAAAAAAAGCGUGUGCGGUUCUCGACGUGCCGCCAAUCUUCGAACGCAGGUCCGUGAUCAUCCGCUGACUCCGAAAAAGCGUUCGAGGAACGCGCCUGCUCCCCUCGUCGCAGUUUCCAGGCCGACGAGCUUGUUUUGUCCGAGACUCGGUGCCACUGUAGACAAUGGCCCUCGUGUCUGCCGAUUCCCGCAUUGCAGAACUUCUCACAGAGCUCCAUCAGCUGAUCAAACAAACCCAGGAAGAGCGUUCACGGAGCGAACACAACUUAGUGAACAUCCAGAAGACCCAUGAGCGGAUGCAGACAGAGAACAAGAUUUCUCCCUAUUACCGGACAAAGCUGCGUGGCCUUUACACAACCGCCAAGGCCGAUGCAGAGGCUGAGUGCAACAUCCUUCGGAAAGCUCUGGACAAGAUCGCGGAAAUCAAGUCUCUGUUGGAAGAGAGGCGGAUUGGUGAGUGGGAGAGAACAUGCUGGGAGGUCCUUUGCUAGGACAAGAGAGGCCCUGCGGGCAGCAGUCACCCUCCUGUGGGAGCCUGCAGCCACCGCCUGCUGGGAUCCUCCCAUGGAGGCUCUGGCAGACUGGCUCUGCCACUGAGAAGGGACAGGAGGUCAUUCCCAGCGCCCAGAGGCAGGGGUUUCCCAGUUCUCCCUCAGCAGCCAGAGAUCAUCCCGCCCCGGCCCCUCAUCUCCUGCCCCUUCUGGGG